RNAcentral lists this ribosomal RNA (277 nucleotides) under uncultured bacterium. Its description in RNAcentral is "partial 16S ribosomal RNA". It matches the Rfam family "Bacterial small subunit ribosomal RNA", at positions 28 to 309 of the family's 1533-position model. The record is from RNAcentral.
GACGAACGCUGGCGGCGUGCUUAACACAUGCAAGUCGAACGGUGAAGCCCUUCGGGGUGGAUCAGUGGCGAACGGGUGAGUAACACGUGGGCAAUCUGCCCUGCACUCUGGGACAAGCCUUGGAAACGAGGUCUAAUACCGGAUAUUACCCUGGAGCGCAUGCUCCGGGGUGGAAAGCUCCGGCGGUGCAGGAUGAGCCCGCGGCCUAUCAGCUUGUUGGUGGGGUGAUGGCCUACCAAGGCGACGACGGGUAGCCGGCCUGAGAGGGCGACCGGCC